CCGGUUUGUGUCCGUGCUGUGGCCGGUCACGUUGUACCUGUUUAUUGGUUAGAAUUUGAUUGCCUAUGAUUUCCGCGUGGUAGGGCGAUCCCACGAUUUCUCUGCGCACCGGAGCAGAAAUGGAGGCUUUGGCAGUCCGUGUUGACAAGCUCUUAAAUAAUACACCUGCGAUGUCUAUUCCUUGAACCGAGAGGAGUACAACAUGGCCUCGGGGACUCGGCGUUUUCUUCCGGUGUUUGAAGUACAUUUCGACCUCUACUCAGGAAACGCGAUGUCAGAAGCAAUCAGGAGCGUUCUGGAACAUUACGGGGAGCGUUUACGCGGCUUUUGGGGAGGUCCCGGGACUAAACUGUUUGAGGGGAACGGGAUGUCUCUCCUGCAGCCUGGGUCUUUGACUUCCUGCGUGAAUCUCUGCCCUUCCCUCAUUUCCACCGGUCGCGCGUCUGUCCUUGUCCACGUUCGUCUGCGCUGUCGCCCAAUUGGCUCGUCGGGGGAAACAAAUCCGGCUGAUUGGCUGACUGGAGCCAGCAGGAGGCUGGCGUCGUGGCAACGCUGCUCGGGUUUCUCUGGGUUUCCAGCCCCGUUCUGCAUGCCUGCCUCAUCGCCCGGCUGUGAUGUCAUCUGCAGCCGGCCAAUCGGAGCGGACUUGGAAUCAUUACCUGCUAAGCUGGGGAUUCUGGUUACACACUCAGCUUAAGUGUCAAUUACCUUAAGCCCAUUUCAGCAGGGACUGUUGACCCAGCGUUUGUGUCAGUGCCAGAUUGCACUGACAGUGUGAGGAGUUAAUUUAAUUACAAGUCAAUGAUGUCCAGGCCGCUACGCUUAUUUCUUGUAGAGAAUACUGACACACUAUGUCUUUAUACAGAGAGAUUGCUCUCUCCUUUUCACCACUGCAUUUUAGUUAUUUACAGUUUGUUUUUUUUUGUUUUGUUUUUUUACAUAAUCAACAAUAUGAAAUUUUGUUGAUUAUGUGAAACUCAUCGUCAUUGUGUCUAACAACUACAAGUACCACAACCAGAUCUAAAACAACCAGCUGCAAUAAUGCAGUCCAAUAGGACCGUCACAGCCUUUGCAAACAAGAGCGACACAUUUAGCUCCCGUCUAACUGUUACAGUAGUGUUCAUCGCCAGUACUAUCACAACCUCAAAAAGUGUUGGUAUGUUUAUGGGGGGCGGGGGCGGGGGGGCUGUACCUGUACACAGAUCUGAGUGAGCCACACGGAGAUCGCAGAGAUGCUCCGGCUGUCUGUCGCCUGUCAAAAUAAUGCCUCCCCGAUUCCUCCAGCCUGUCUGUUCUGCCAUGAGAUUUAAUACACAAAUCUGCAGUAAUAACUUUCAUGUAAUCUUCACCCCCCCCUCCCCCCCCCUUAUCCCAGACUGGAACUGGCUAGCCCAACAUGUACUUCAGUAAACACGCAUCCAGUCGAUGCCAGAUCAGUUGCAGUAACUGAUGAUCGUGAAUGCAGGAAACAGACGGUAUUUAAAUGACUUCUCAGACGCGGAGCCCUUAUUAUAUAACGUCCCGUGAUACGAGAUGCGUUUGUCUGCGCUGUACGGGCCCUGACAUGCACUUCUGUCGUCAGCAUAAGGAGAAAGUCAGUUCUGCCCUGAUGAUGUAUGGCUAAUGGAAGCCAUGCUCGUUUAGCCGCGCGGUCGGUGCCUCUCGGCGUAUGAAAUAUUGAUAUUUCGGCUGAUCGAAAGCGUUCUUCGCGUCGGCCCGAUACGUGAAACUGCGCCGCCGUGGGUUCGCGCGAGGACAGACGCAGACGGAUAUUAAUGCGAAUACGAGCGCGGAAGUGAAUUAUCAAUAGACCGGCUCCCUCCAUCUGUCCCAACCAUUAGCGUAGCUUUUUACAAAAUGCCAGCUUGCUCAGUUUAACCAGGGGCGACCUGAUAGACGCACAGUGCUAUGAACUUA
Anguilla anguilla (European eel) is the source of this 1917-nucleotide long non-coding RNA. RefSeq lists it as uncharacterized. Lineage: Eukaryota; Metazoa; Chordata; Actinopteri; Anguilliformes; Anguillidae. The transcript is spliced from 3 exons. The record is from RefSeq and is a predicted model, not a curated record.